GGAUCUGUGGCUCAACUGGUAGAGUAUUGGCCUUGAGCCCCAAAGUGCCUAGAUCCU
This 57-nucleotide transfer RNA is filed under the name Dipodomys ordii (Ord's kangaroo rat). Lineage: Eukaryota; Metazoa; Chordata; Mammalia; Rodentia; Heteromyidae. The record is from Rfam by way of RNAcentral.